Molecule: ribosomal RNA, 477 nt
Filed under: uncultured bacterium
Lineage: Bacteria
Description: partial 16S ribosomal RNA
Rfam family: Bacterial small subunit ribosomal RNA
Source: RNAcentral
GAUUAACGCUGGCGGUGUGCAUAACACAUGCAAGUCGAACGAUGAAACAUUAAUGACCCCUUCGGGGAGAAUUAAAGCGGAUUAGUGGCGAACGGGUGAGUAACGCGUGCGUAACCUGCCUUACAAAAGGGGAUAAACUUUGGCUACGAAGAAUAAUACCCUAUAAAACCAUACAAGCACAUGUCAUACUGGUCAAAGUGAUAGCGGUGUAAGAUGGACUUGCGACUGAUUAGCUUGUUGGUGAGAUAAAAGCCCACCAAGGCAACGAUCAGUAGCCGGCUUGAGAGAGUGUACGGCCCCAUUGGGACGGAGACACGGCCCAGACUCCUACGGGAGGCAGCAGGGGGGAAGUUUGCACAAUGGGGGAAACCCUGAUGCAGCGACGCCGCAUGAUUUAGAAGGCCUUCGGGUUGUAAAAAUCUUUUGUAUAGGAAGAAAAUGACAGUACUAUACGAAUAAGGUCCGGCUAAUUACGUG